Molecule: ribosomal RNA, 578 nt
Filed under: uncultured bacterium
Lineage: Bacteria
Description: bacterial SSU rRNA
Rfam family: Bacterial small subunit ribosomal RNA
Source: RNAcentral
ACGGGUGAGCAAUGCGUAGGAAUCUACCGAGUGGUGCGGGAUAGCCUAGGGAAACUUAGGGUAAUACCGCGUAAGCCCGAGAGGGGAAAGCAGGGGACCGAAAGGCCUUGCACCAUUUGAUGAGCCUACGUCGGAUUAGCUAGUUGGUGGGGUAAAGGCCUACCAAGGCGACGAUCCGUAGCUGGUUUGAGAGAGCGACCAGCCACACUGGGGCUGAGACACGGCCCAGACUCCUACGGGAGGCAGCAGUGGGGAAUAUUGGACAAUGGGCGAAAGCCUGAUCCAGCGAUGCCGCGUGUGUGAAGAAGGCCUGCGGGUUGUAAAGCACUUUCAGUGGGGAGGAAAUGCUCCUUGUUAAUACCAAAGAGAGAUGACGUUACCCAAAUAAGAAGCACCGGCUAACUCUGUGCCAGCAGCCGCGGUAAUACAGAGGGUGCAAGCGUUAAUCGGAAUUACUGGGCGUAAAGGGUGCGUAGGUGGUGAGAUAAGUUAGGUGUGAAAGUCCUGGGCUUAACCUGGGGAUUGCGCCUAAUACUGUUUGACUAGAGUACUGUAGAGGAAGGUGGAAUUUCCGGUGU